Molecule: ribosomal RNA, 429 nt
Filed under: bacterium
Lineage: Bacteria
Description: partial 16S ribosomal RNA
Rfam family: Bacterial small subunit ribosomal RNA
Source: RNAcentral
UAGGGAAUCUUCGGCAAUGGGGGCAACCCUGACCGAGCAACGCCGCGUGAGUGAAGAAGGUUUUCGGAUCGUAAAGCUCUGUUGUAAGAGAAGAACGUGUGUGAGAGUGGAAAGUUCACACAGUGACGGUAACUUACCAGAAAGGGACGGCUAACUACGUGCCAGCAGCCGCGGUAAUACGUAGGUCCCGAGCGUUGUCCGGAUUUAUUGGGCGUAAAGCGAGCGCAGGCGGUUUAAUAAGUCUGAAGUUAAAGGCAGUGGCUUAACCAUUGUUCGCUUUGGAAACUGUUAAUCUUGAGUGCAGAAGGGGAGAGUGGAAUUCCAUGUGUAGCGGUGAAAUGCGUAGAUAUAUGGAGGAACACCGGUGGCGAAAGCGGCUCUCUGGUCUGUAACUGACGCUGAGGCUCGAAAGCGUGGGGAGCAAACAGG